UGAUAUGUGCAUCUACUGCAGUGAAGGCACUUGUAGCAUUAUGGUGA
RNAcentral lists this unclassified non-coding RNA (47 nucleotides) under Sus scrofa (pig). RNAcentral describes it as "partial microRNA mir-91 precursor". Lineage: Eukaryota; Metazoa; Chordata; Mammalia; Artiodactyla; Suidae. The record is from RNAcentral.